RNAcentral lists this ribosomal RNA (433 nucleotides) under uncultured bacterium. RNAcentral describes it as "partial 16S ribosomal RNA". It matches the Rfam family "Bacterial small subunit ribosomal RNA", at positions 29 to 507 of the family's 1533-position model. The record is from RNAcentral.
AACGAACGCUGGCGGCAUGCCUAACACAUGCCAGUCGAACGAGACCUUCGGGUCUAGUGGCGCACGGGUGCGUAACGCGUGGGAACCUGCCCUUAGGUUCGGAAUAACUCCCCGAAAGGGGUGCUAAUACCGGAUAAUGUCUUCGGACCAAAGAUUUAUCGUCUUUGGAUGGGCCCGCGUUGGAUUAGCUAGUUGGUAGGGUAAAAGCCUACCAAGGCGACGAUCCAUAGCUGGUCUGAGAGGAUGAUCAGCCACACUGGGACUGAGACACGGCCCAGACUCCUACGGGAGGCAGCAGUGGGGAAUAUUGGACAAUGGGCGAAAGCCUGAUCCAGCAAUGCCGCGUGAGUGAUGAAGGCCUUAGGGUUGUAAAGCUCUUUUACCCGGGAUGAUAAUGACAGUACCGGGAGAAUAAGCUCCGGCUAACUCCGUG